UCGUCGUGUCAUCGUCUCUGAGGAAAUGCAGAUAGGGAGCUAGACGUUACCUUGUAAAUGUGCCUUCGUGCGAAUGUGGCUCGGCCUGCGACAUCCUACGCCAGAGCCCACCUGCAAUGUUACACUUUUUUCACCGGUUAAGAUUACGCAGUGAAAACUUAAUUCUCUGUUAUAUGUGUGCUUGCACUGAACAGCUUUGUUAUAAACCAAAAUGACCGAGGGGAAGAGCCAACAAAUCGCCUAUUACUAACGUCAGCAGGAGCAGGAGCAAUCCAGCGGUGACUAAAUUUCAGUCGCAUCAGUCGAUAAUGUUAAAAACUUUUUGAGUUCUGGAGCCCCAGCCGUGUGACCAUUUGCGUGCAUCCGCAACGCGGCAUUACACGUCAGACCUCUUCCAGGCAGCGGUAUUCAUAACAAGACCUCUAAUUAUUUCCAGACAAACUCCAUCAAUUAAAGCUUAAUUAUGCUGGUAUGCAAGCAUUAACAUGGCC
Molecule: long non-coding RNA, 491 nt
Filed under: Volvox carteri
Lineage: Eukaryota; Viridiplantae; Chlorophyta; Chlorophyceae; Chlamydomonadales; Volvocaceae
Description: long non-coding RNA (VCAR_LNC002085)
Source: RNAcentral